This 455-nucleotide ribosomal RNA is filed under the name Rhinogobius similis (barecheek goby). RNAcentral describes it as "partial 12S ribosomal RNA". It matches the Rfam family "Bacterial small subunit ribosomal RNA", at positions 751 to 1414 of the family's 1533-position model. Lineage: Eukaryota; Metazoa; Chordata; Actinopteri; Gobiiformes; Gobiidae. The record is from RNAcentral.
UUUAAAAAGCUUCAAACUGGGAUUAGAUACCCCACUAUGCCUAGCCUUAAACAAAAGCGAUUUAUUUACACCCCUCGCUUGCCAGGGAACUACGAGCCCCAGCUUAAAACCCAAAGGACUUGGCGGUGCUUUAGACCCACCUAGAGGAGCCUGUUCUAGAACCGAUAACCCCCGUUCAACCUCACCUUCUCUUGUUUUUCCCGCCUAUAUACCGCCGUCGUCAGCUUACCCUGUGAAGGGCACAUAGUGAGCACAAUUGGUACAACCCAAAACGUCAGGUCGAGGUGUAGCGUACGAGAAGGGAAGAAAUGGGCUACAUUUACUGAACCAGUAAACACGGAUAAUGCCUUGAAACAGACAUUUAAAGGAGGAUUUAGCAGUAAGAGAGGAAUAGAGCGCCCCUCUGAAACUGGCCCUGAAGCGCGCACACACCGCCCGUCACCCUCUGCAGUCAA